Molecule: unclassified non-coding RNA, 1021 nt
Filed under: Cimex lectularius (bed bug)
Lineage: Eukaryota; Metazoa; Arthropoda; Insecta; Hemiptera; Cimicidae
Description: uncharacterized LOC106661253, transcript variant X1
Source: RNAcentral
UUAUUAAAUUGUGAUUGUUAAAAGAAAACAUUCUUAACAUUCCAACAAAGUACACAUGUGUUUCUAAUGUAUACUAUAUUAACUUUUCUAUGUUAAAAUCCAAAUUUUAAACAAUGAAUUCCUCAAUUUUUUUCUCACUGAAACCAAGAAAAUUUUUCUCUUUACCAAAAAUCCCUUCAGGGUCUGUUUUAUGUCGGAAACGACUUCAACUGCCAUCACCGCAUGCUUCAAAAAGACUAUGCACCGAAAAUAAGGAAGUUAACAAAAGUGAACAUAUAAAAUUAAUUUAUCCAGCUCCUGUAAUUUUUUGGAAGAAGGUACAGGAGUUUUUGGAAAAACAUUUCUCAGAUGAGCCAUUUUAUCAAAUGUUUAAAGUUCAAUCAAGCCCCGAUGUUUGCCUGGACAAGCGGGAGGCAAUAUCUGAAACGUUACGAAAUAACGUGUCUGUGAUUGCUGUCGAAUGCUCUUCAGGAAAGUCAAAUGUAUUUGUCAUCUAGUUAGUAGGAGUUUCGCUGAAUGGAGUUCUGUACGAAAAAGACUUAGAAAAGCCUAUGUACUUUCAUAAUAAGAAACUGGCAAAAAUUUCAGAAAUUAUUAUGGAUAUUAAUAAAGAGUGCGACACGUUUAAAAGAUUUUGUGUAAGUGAAAUAUUCGAAUGUAGAAGUCUGGCGGUACAUAAAGAAUACAGGGGUUUAGGCCUUGGAGGGAAAAUUCUCAAAAAGAGCGAAAAAGAAGCAAAAAAGGCCGGAUAUAAAGUCAUGAAGACUGAAGCCACGAGCACCUACACGUAUAAAAUCCUUCGGAAACUAAAUCACGAAGUGAUUUUAGAAAAGAAAUACUCAGAUUUUUUAACAUAUGAAAAAACACUAAUGGAUAUCGAACAUCUCCCUGAGCAUACACACAUAAGGAUUAUGGUGAAAGAAUUCAACUAAACCUACCUUUUUGGACAGAGUAUACAGUUGUUCUGACACCAAUAUUAAAAUAAUUAUAUUUAUGGGACCUACAAAAAAAAAAAAAAAAA